AACGAACGCUGGCGGCAUGCCUAACACAUGCCAGUCGAACGAGACCUUCGGGUCUAGUGGCGCACGGGUGCGUAACGCGUGGGAACCUGCCCUUAGGUUCGGAAUAACUCCCCGAAAGGGGUGCUAAUACCGGAUGAUGUCUUCGGACCAAAGAUUUAUCGCCUUUGGAUGGGCCCGCGUUGGAUUAGCUAGUUGGUAGGGUAAAAGCCUACCAAGGCGACGAUCCAUAGCUGGUCUGAGAGGAUGAUCAGCCACACUGGGACUGAGACACGGCCCAGACUCCUACGGGAGGCAGCAGUGGGGAAUAUUGGACAAUGGGCGAAAGCCUGAUCCAGCAAUGCCGCGUGAGUGAUGAAGGCCUUAGGGUUGUAAAGCUCUUUUACCCGGGAUGAUAAUGACAGUACCGGGAGAAUAAGCUCCGGCUAACUCCGUG
RNAcentral lists this ribosomal RNA (433 nucleotides) under uncultured bacterium. RNAcentral describes it as "partial 16S ribosomal RNA". It matches the Rfam family "Bacterial small subunit ribosomal RNA", at positions 29 to 507 of the family's 1533-position model. The record is from RNAcentral.